UGAUUGGCUCCCCCAGUCGGUAAGGAAGGGAUCCUCCUGACCCAGCACCUAGACCAACCUCUUUUGGAAGAGACGGAGCUUGAGAGGCAUCCUGUCCUCGUGCACAAUCAUGGUGCUAAUCAAAAAUGGUGAGACUUAUUUUCAGACUUGCACUGUUUGCUUAAAACCAUAACAGGCCAGGAAAUUGCUUCAUGUACAUAAAGGGAUAAAAAGAUUUAUUUUCCCCAUCGUUUUUCUUCCUCAGAAAUAGUCGUUAGUAGACAUUUCUUCUUUUUUUAAAAACCUGUAGAAAUAUUAACCAACCGGAAAAUAAUUAUUGAUUCUUACACUAUGCUAGGCACUGAGGGAGACUUGUAAAAAGUUAAAAAAAAAAUAAUAGUGGCCUUUAAAAAAAUGUUUAUUUCUGAGAGAAAUAGCACACAAGCAGGGGAGGGGCAGAAAGAGAGAGAAAGAGAGAGAGAGAGAAUCCCAAGCAGGCUCCACACUACCAGCACAGAGCUCAAUGUGGGACUCAAAACUCAUGAACUGUAAGAUCAUGACCUGAACUGAAAUCAAGCGUCAGAUGCUCAACGGACUGAGCCACCCAGGUGCCCCUAAAAAAACUGAUAGUGACCUUCUAUUCUUUCCUCUAAAUGAUGCUUCAGUGUGUAUUGAGUAACAGUAACUAUAGAUUUAAAUUUUUUUAAUGUUUAUUUUUGAGAGAGAGAGAGACAGAACAUAAGCAGGGGAGGGGCAGAGAGAGAGGGAGACAUGGAAUUCGAAGCAGGCUCCAGGCUCUGAGCUGUCAGCACAGAGCUCAACAUGGGGCUGGAACUCACAGACUGCAAGAUCAUGACCUGAGCUGAAGUCAGACGCUUAACCGACUGAGCCACCCGGGCGCCCCUGGACACUAGAGAUUAAAAAAAAAAAAAUGAAACAAAAAUCUAGGAUUGAUUUCCUUUAUUAAGGCCUAUUAAGUAGUCCAAGAACUUACUGUCUAAGAGGUUCCCAACUGGGGAUAAUUUGCUCCCUAGGGGAUAUGUGACAGUGUCCAGAGAAAUAUUUGGUUGGCCCUACUGAGAUGGGUGGGGAAUGCUACUGGCAUCUAAUGAGUGGAGACCAGUGAUGCUGCUAAGUAUCUUCCAGUGCACAGGACACCCUCCAACAGCACAGAACCACAAUGUUACUAGUGCCAAGACUGAGACACCCUGCAAACCCAAUGGGCUCUUCCUUAAGAGCACUCUGCAGGUGCAAAUUAACAAAGCAAGCCUUCAAGCCACCCCUUGCCUUCCCUUUCCCCAGUAGGCUUGGAACAGGGGAAGGUCCGUAGCUAAGGGGUGAAGAGAGGGUAUGGGCCAUGCCAUCCAGGCGGGCCUUGGUGGCCCUGUUUCAGAGGAUGGUCAUCAGUUCUGUCGUCAGGCCCCAGCAUUUUAACUGUGACGGCACAGGACAGAGGGCAUGUCCAGUUAAGUCUGGCUGUUCCACAGAUGACCUGAGCCCUUCUCCUUUUUGCUGCAAGCAGCCAGGUUUCCAGUCAGCCCCCAAUGUGCAGAAGGCUAGUCAAAUACAGCUGACCUUUGAACAGCACGGGGCCACUUAUACGUGGAUGUUGUCAGUAAACACAGGACAGUGCCGUGAAUGUAUUUUCUCUUAUGACUGACUUAGGACCAUUUCCUUCUCUUUAGCUUAUUUUAUUUAUUGAUCAAUCGAUAGAUCUAUAAAGCUACUUGCUUUAUCUAUCUGUAACAUAGAUAACAUAAAAUACGUGUUCAUCGACUGUGUACGUUAUCUGUAUAAGGCUUCUGUUGACUAGUAAAGUUUUGGGAGAGUCAGAAGUUGCUGAAGGAUUUUGGAGUGUGUGGAAAUUCUGCCCCCGUAACUCUGCUGUUCAAGGGUCAAUUGUAAUAUUACUGAAAGUCAGUGACACUCUUAAAAUGUAAACCUAACAUUGGCUCCGAAGUUGAAACUACUAUGAUACUUUUCUUUUGUUUUACCAUGUGUAAGUAUUAACUAUAAGUUUAAAUUUUUUUAAUGUUUGUUUAUUUUUGAGAGAGAGAAAAAGAGAAUGUGGGAGGGGCAGAGAGAGGGAAACACAGAAUCUGAAGCAGUCUCCAGGUUCUGAGCUGUCAGCACAGAGCCCUACCCAGGGCUCGAACUCAAAAACCUCAAGAUCACAACCUGAGCUGAAGUUGGACGCUUAACUGACUAAGCCACCCAGGCGCCCCAAGUUUAAAUUUUAAAAGUGGCCCUGCAACGAUGCUGUUCAAUAUUGCCACUAGCCACAUGUGGCUACUUAAAAGUUAAAAUUCAUUCUGCAACCACACCAGUCAUAUUAAAAGCACUCAGUAGCCACAUGUCCCUACUGGCUACUGAACUGGACAAUGUGGACAAAGAACAUUUCUGUUACCAUAGAAAGUUCUACUGAACAGCCCUGCCUUAUAAGCCAUUUCUAAAGAUCCUUGCCAGUGUAUACAGUUACUGCUAAAAAAAAAAAAGGCUUGUUUUCUAGCAGCUAAGGCACCAGGGCAAAUGCUUUGCAUGAUCUCGUCAUUGUCUGUUAGAAAGACAGACAUGUUCUGCUGGGAGGGACCAUCUUUUGUCAGACAGGCAAUUUGGGGAAGGGUUUCUGUAAUGGAUGCUGGGUAAUGUAUCAGAUGAUUGAAACUGAUUUUCCAGAAGGCAUAACGAUGUAAAAUUCAAGUAGAUAACCUCUGUAAGGCAUUUCUGAUCUAAGUCAAGUGUGUAUUGUUAAAUAUUAAUUCCAUUAAGGUAUGUCAGCAGGGAAUUAAGAUAUGUGACCCAAAUAUAUUUCUUUCUAGUAAUUGAGUGUAAUAGCACACUAACGCUCAGUGGAUCUUAACUGGGGGUAAGUCAGGGAGGAGGGAGGAUCGGAAAGUCCUGGGAGCCCCUACAAAAUGCAUACGUUGCCCCCACGUAGGGUUUGCCAGAAUGGUGGGGCGGGUGGUUGGGGAGGGAAGGUCUUGCACACGUAUAUUUUCACAAUGUUCCCCGUGUAAGUCCACUGUACCCAAUCUAGAUGAGUAUUCUUUAGAGAUAUUAAAGAUAAAUAAUUGGGGCACCUGGGUGGCUCAGUCGGUUAAGCGUCCGACUUUGACUCCGGUCACGAUCUCACAGUCUGUGAGUUCGAGCCCCGCGUCGGGCUCUGUGUGGACUGCUCGGAGCCUGGAGCCUGCUUAGGAUUCUGUGUCUCCCUCUCUCUGACCCUCCCCUGUUCGUGCUCUGUCUCUCUCUCUCUCUCUCAAAAAUAAAUAAACAUUAAAAAAGUAUUUUUAAAGAUAAAUAAUUAAUUUGCCUCUUUUCCCUUGUGUGAUGGGGGGGUGUGGCUUAAAAAAAGAUCUCUGGGCUCCACUUCUAGAUAGGAUUCUGUGCCCUUUGGGUGAGCCUGUUCUCUCUCACUGUCCUUCUUUCAAAAGACUCACUGGUUGUUCCCGGCUACCUCUUCCCUCUAAGACCUUUAGGAUGAUCCACUGGCUUUGGAACAACUGCCUGGGACAUUUCCUUCCAGUAUCAGGUAUCUGUCUCCAGCAAACCUGUGCAAGCUGAGUAUCACCAUCUGGUCCUGGAUGCAUUUUGUUAUCAGUGCUGGAAGUGAUGAUACGGUAUGCCGCUGUCAUGUGCCCAGAGGAUGCAGGGG
This 3634-nucleotide long non-coding RNA is filed under the name Lynx pardinus (Iberian lynx). Lineage: Eukaryota; Metazoa; Chordata; Mammalia; Carnivora; Felidae. The record is from RNAcentral.